GAGGUUGUAGCUCAUUGUUAGAGCACAUGCUUAGCACGCAUGAGAUCCUGGGUUCAAUCCCCAGUACUUCCA
This 72-nucleotide transfer RNA is filed under the name Camelus ferus (Wild Bactrian camel). It matches the Rfam family "tRNA". Rfam says of the family: Transfer RNA (tRNA) molecules are approximately 80 nucleotides in length. Their secondary structure includes four short double-helical elements and three loops (D, anti-codon, and T loops). Further hydrogen bonds mediate the characteristic L-shaped molecular structure. tRNAs have two regions of fundamental functional importance: the anti-codon, which is responsible for specific mRNA codon recognition, and the 3' end, to which the tRNAs corresponding amino acid is attached (by aminoacyl-tRNA synthetases). tRNAs cope with the degeneracy of the genetic code in two manners: having more than one tRNA (with a specific anti-codon) for a particular amino acid; and 'wobble' base-pairing, i.e. permitting non-standard base-pairing at the 3rd anti-codon position. Lineage: Eukaryota; Metazoa; Chordata; Mammalia; Artiodactyla; Camelidae. The record is from Rfam by way of RNAcentral.